This 71-nucleotide non-coding RNA is filed under the name Candidatus Kaiserbacteria bacterium. Lineage: Bacteria; Candidatus Kaiseribacteriota. The record is from RNAcentral.
CGCCGAAACACUCUCACUCAGGGGGAGUGUAUGCUUAGGGUAGUUCCUAGGUACUGAUGAGGCAGCUAAAC